RNAcentral lists this small RNA (306 nucleotides) under Arabidopsis thaliana (thale cress). RNAcentral describes it as "ATSL210220". The record is from RNAcentral. Lineage: Eukaryota; Viridiplantae; Streptophyta; Magnoliopsida; Brassicales; Brassicaceae.
AAAAUGUUUAAAGUUUCAAUUCUUUAAAAUAAAGAAUCCUAGUAAACAGGAUAACCAUUUUAAUUUUGGACACCUCAUAAAUCAAGCUUCUUGCUCAUUCGUAAUCAGAAUCAUUUUGGUUCUUCUUACAGUAUGACUCCGAAUCAUUGUCCAAUUUUUUAAGCGAUGUGGGACAUUUUACAAUCGUAAUAUACCAUCCCAUGUUAUUAUCAACCCAAACCCGUCCUACCAUAUAACACAGUCCCUUGAAAUUAAACAUCAUUUUGUCAUUUUCUUAUAAUUUUAAUAUUAUAAAAUUUGAACUUC